RNAcentral lists this ribosomal RNA (305 nucleotides) under uncultured bacterium. RNAcentral's name for it is "bacterial SSU rRNA". It matches the Rfam family "Bacterial small subunit ribosomal RNA", at positions 337 to 639 of the family's 1533-position model. The record is from RNAcentral.
UCCUACGGGAGGCAGCAGUGAGGAAUAUUGGUCAAUGGGCGGGAGCCUGAACCAGCCAAGCCGCGUGAAGGAAGAAGGCGCCAAGCGUCGUAAACUUCUUUUGUCGGGGAACAAAGGGCGCCACGUGUGGCGUUGUGAGUGUACCCGAAGAAAAAGCAUCGGCUAACUCCGUGCCAGCAGCCGCGGUAAUACGGAGGGUGCGAGCGUUAAUCGGAAUUACUGGGCGUAAAGCGCUCGUAGGCGGUAUGUCAAGUCAAGGGUGAAAUCCCCGCGCUCAACGGGGGAACUGCCUUUGAAACUGGCAA